This is a long non-coding RNA of Dermacentor silvarum, 933 nucleotides long. RefSeq lists it as uncharacterized. The record is from RefSeq and is a predicted model, not a curated record. Lineage: Eukaryota; Metazoa; Arthropoda; Arachnida; Ixodida; Ixodidae. The transcript has 3 exons.
UGGCACCGUGCCGCACUUGCUAAAGCGAAGCGCGGUGAUAUAUGACAUUGACAAAGAAGAAAUACUCUUAUUUUGCCUUCUUCUGGCAGAGAUUAAGCCUUUCUUCGUUUUAAUCAUACAGAAUGAAAUUGAACGCCGCGCCGAGCGCUCGUUUGUGCCAGUCCGUAACAACGCACCAACGUAAGGUAGUGCCGGAGAGAGACAGUCGCUGGCGCAUAAAGUUCUGCCAGGACGGCCCAAUAAGGGACUGUGAAAACCGACGACAGACGCAGAAAUAUCAUGAUUUCAACGGCGCUUGUAGUCUUGUCAAUGACUACCGGCACGUUCGCCAGCUACAUCGGCGCUGGCUUCGGUCUCGGCUACGGUGUUAGCCACUUCGGCGUGUCUAGAGGCAUUGGAUACUCUACCGUGACUGGAUUUGCCCACAGUGUUGGCUACGCUCCGGCGCAGGGCUAUUCUCUCGUUCCCGCAGGCGCAGCACAUGUUCCUUCCCUACCAUUGGUGACAGCACACGCAGUUCCAGCUGUGUCGCCUGUAGUAGCUCCCGGAGGCGUGACAACAGUGGCUGCGACUUACCAUGCCCCAGCAACGAUUACCACACUUGCUACAGUACCAGUGACGCUGACGAAGGUGACAACCACGUAUCACACUCCAGUCGAGAGUACAAAUGUGCAGCUAUCUCCCGUCUAUGGGCACAACGUUGGCGGCCUCGGAUACGGCACCGGAAACUACGGCUUCGGAUACGGCCUAGGAUCAUACGGCCUCAACUACGGCUAUGGUCUCGGUACACCUGUGCAAUAUCUGAUCCUCCUUCGCCGUCGGAAGUAAAUAACGGACGAUAUGAAAAGCGACAGAGGCUUGUCUGCGCCGAAAAUAUUACUUUACAAACCAUACAACCGUAUUAUCCGUGGAGAAGUGACCUUUGCAAGCGCA